UCCCUCGCUCCCGGCGCUGAAGCUCGCGCGCACUUCUCUCCAGGCCCGCGAGCCUUCGACGACCGCCGUCCAGGUCCCUCUGAAACCCGGUCGCACCAUGUCUUCGCCUCCCGAGGGGAAGCUAGAGACGAAAGCUGGACACCCGCCCGCCGUGAAAGCCGGUGGGAUGCGAAUUGUGCAGAAACACCCGCAUGCCGGAGACACCAGAGAAGAGAAGGACAAAGACGACCAGGAGUGGGAAAGCCCCAGUCCACCCAGACCGACCGUGUUCAUCUCCGGUGUUAUCGCCCGGGGCGACAAGGACUUCCCCCCGGCGGCUGCCCAGGUGGCCCACCAGAAGCCCCACGCCUCCAUAGACAAGCACUCUUCCCCGAGGACACAGCACAUCCAGCAGCCUCGCAAGUGACUGGCGAGGACCCAGCACCCUCACCAGCCGGGCCUCAGUUCCCCGACACUUGGUAUUUCCCCAGCAAAGAGAACUGGUAUUUUCUUCAAGACACUGCUCCCUUGGGAAAUUUAAGACAGAGCAAAGCGCCCCUUCCUUUGCCUUGAAUUUCCAUAUCUAAAGCUAGAAUCAGACCCCAAAGCUUGUUUCCAGGGAGUCCUGGCAGGUGUUGUCUGCGAAUCACUGUGGCGCUACAAGUGCCGUUAGCAGAACUUGCUAAGACUUGAGUGAAAUGGAAUUGUUCAGAGUUUAGCUUCAGUUCCGGUUUAUCAGUUGCCCUGGUCUUAAAAACAAGCGGGCACAAAUUUGGGAGGGUUAGAUCAGGUCAGGGGAAAACUCAAUCAUUUCAUGCUUUUCGGUAAGAGGACAAUAAAGUCUUAAUACCUAGUGGGGAGAGAAAGAGAUGAGAGCGUUAAUUACAGAAAAACUGAGCAGGGGAGACUUUUGAAACAGGCAACAGCGUCACUUCAUUUCUCUCCUUUGUGUGAUGAGGGAUCACAGCACAGGGCGACACCAAGCACUCCCAGGAAAACCAGGGAAAAGCUUACAGCUUUGAAACGGCUCUUUCAUUCCAGGGGUCAUCUUGCUGAAAAAUUUGCCCAAAGGGAAUACUUCCAGAAUGAGGUUUCUCAGUGUGGGUCCCAAGUCCUGCAUUGCCCCACCAUCCAGACAGGCUUGCUGCGAAAUCAAGGCAAACCUUCAUUUUUUCAGUAAUCACCUCUAGAGCUGCUCUUGAGCUCUGGGAGUGAUCACUGACCAGGUGGAGGAAUAGAUGCCUAGCUAAUUCUGGAACACUAGAGCAAAAGCACUGACCACGUGGGAAGAUGAGACGAGAACCUGCCCUUUGUCUCCCUAGGGCAAAGUAGAACUACCACGUGCCAUUUGAGCUAGAAAAGCCUGUUUGUCCAUCAGUCGAAGUGUCAGGAACUCCCUCUGCCCAAGGGCACAUGUACCUGGGCCCGUGUUCACUUGGGCCUCUCAAAUUAUCCUACGCUUUCUGCCUGGGUUUCCUACCCAAAGCUGCCUUAGACUGCUCGGUGGCUGAUGGCUAUUGGGUGCUCUGCUUUUCUGAAAAGCCAAUGGGCUCGUUUACUCAGAUGUUCAAAUCUCCCGGAGCAGAUGCUUUGGGAGAGGGUGCAGCCCAGCUGGCACGCUUGCCAGCAUGGUGUUUGCCGCGGGGUCAGCAGUGCGCACACCACAGCCUUUCUGAUGCCCUUUCCAGCUCCACGUCCGUGACUGGUAAAGGUGACACAGACCUAGCAGACCCAGCUCUCACCCUUUCCUAAGGAAAAAGCUGGCCCUGCUUAACAUCCUAAAGGCAACAUUUGGUUUCCCAUCUCACUGACUUGCGGCAGCCGGGGUCUCACCCUCAAGGCACCGUGUAGUCACCUCUCAUACUUCUUAAUCGCUGAGAUGUUGCUAAAAACUGAGGCUGGCUUUUAGAGAUGCAGAUAGGGCGGGCAGCCUCCUCCCGGCCGUCUCCUGGAGCCGGCAUCUCAGAAGGAUGCUGAGAACAGGCAGCACUAGGUCAGUCUGUGGACCACUGCACCCUCUGGUGCAGAGAUGAAGACGCAUCCUUGAUACUUUUUAGUGUGGCAGCCAGGACUGCCAUGCUGUUUCCCAAGGUGCAUUUUUCUUGUCCUUUUAGCUACAUCUGGCAUGUAUCUGUAGAUCACUGAAAGCAAAAUGUUCUUCUGAAUGAGUUUAUCGAUGGUUAACCUCAAGAAGAAUAAUGAUUAUAAUAAAGCUCCUGCAUUUCUUCUCAUGGUUUGUUUUUUCUUACAUCUCAGAGACUUUUCCUUCUCAUUUUAUUGGAGUUGCCAGAUGGUUUCAAUAGAAAUACGAACAUGCAAAAAUGAGGGGUAUUUUCACAAACUGUUUCCCAGACACAAAGCCAAACUAUUGGACAGCAGGCACCUUGAGUCUAAUCGUCUACUUUAAAAUGUCAUAAAAUGGAAAAGCUUAAUGCAGUGGAUUAAAACACAUUCCUUGGGUUCAGCAGCUGGCCCCGUGCUGGGAAGGCCCUUUGGGAACAGACUUAGAAGGAAUGAUUAGUAGUAAGCCCGGGGAUGGCUGUAUGCAGCUUUUGAUGAAUAAACUAAUUUAUC
Phocoena sinus (vaquita) is the source of this 2553-nucleotide long non-coding RNA. The record is from Ensembl. Lineage: Eukaryota; Metazoa; Chordata; Mammalia; Artiodactyla; Phocoenidae.